AUAUAAUAUUGGAUGAUUUACUAUUUAACUCAAAUGGCAUUGAAUAUAUAUGGUAUCAUAUUUUGUAAAGAUGAUAUCACAAUUUAAAUAAAAGGCUAAAAUGAGAAAACCAAUUUCAUUUUGUGCAGAGUCAUUGAAUCUUUUCAUAUUAUAGGUAGCGUAUAAUGAAUACAGUUAAUAAGCAUUUGCAUGCCAAGCUAAGGAUUCUUAUGAAAGGUUACCAUGAAUUUAUGGCAAUUGAUAUUUUUGAUGGCCUGACCUGAUGCCUCCUUCUUAAGCUAAAAUUCCUAGUCAUUUCUUCCAUUGGGGCAACCUCUGAACCACAACCUGCGACAAUCAAAAGAGCAGAUAUCAAUUCAAUCUGUUAAAUAGAGAACCUCAGUAACCUCUAUUGCUCUGCAAACCAAAUAAUGCUGUUGUUCUUCUGUUGUGAAAUUUUUAGGGGAUAACUUCCAACAAGAACGUCCAAUCAUAAUAGUUUUUCUGAAUAUUCUUUGCCAAUGAAUAGCCAUCUACCUUGCCCGCAUUCUCUUUAUUUCCAACAAUAGUUUGACAAGCAAGCCUCCAGGAUUCAGGUUUCUUCUUCAAAAAACGAAGUUCAGUAUUUGUUCUUUCAUUCAAAAGAUCUUUUCCAUCCAGAAUCUCCACAAUGCAAGUUCCACAGCUUCCGCCUCCUCCACAGUUCAUUACUUUGCCAUAUGUGGCGUAAAGCUCAAUCUUAUUGUCCAACAUGAUGUUCCGCAGUAGCUUCUCACCACUUAUUUCUUUAGCUCUGAUCACCGGAUACCUCCUGUCGCCGUCUGGCUUCGGCCCGAUGAAUUGUAGCUCAAUUUCAGGCUUUUCCGGCACAGGAGGUGAGGAUUCCGAUGAGCUUGCAGCGACAGAGACUGAAGCCACGGGUCUCUUUUUUAAAAUAAACGAACUCCGGAAUGUGUUUCCUUUCCCGGAAGAGAGUUCCGGCAGCCACAUUGAUACGGCGGCGAAGUUAAUGGCUGCCAUUAUUUAGUUGGCUUGAUCACUCUCAGCACGAGUCUUUUGAUUUCUUUACCGUUUCCUUUCCAUUUCAAGAGCAGUCCUGAAACUUCCGAAACUUAACUCUGCGUCGAGGGGUAAUUUCGUAAUUCAAUUAUACAAUCCUGUGCUCAAUAUUGAGCCACCUGAGAGCUCCUUUGUGUGCUGAGAAAUGAAUUGCUUCAAGAAAUGGAAAGCUUUGGCUGUUCUCUCCUCAGCCAAUGCUGCAAAGGAAACGACGAGUCGUUUGUUAUCCUUCUCUUCUUCCCCCUCAGACCAAUCUUGUGUCAAGUGGCUACCACUUCCUCACCAGCAUCUCCCCUCUCCAACUUCGUCCCAGAACGCCAACCCUAACUAUUCGCAGCAUGACUUCUCUACUCUCUGCAACCUCCUCAGGAACCCGAACAUCAGUCCCGGACCCUCCCUGGAAGCCGCCUUGGACCGGACGGAAAUCCAACCGGAGUUGAAUCUGUUACUGGCGCUAUUCGAUCAUUUUGAUUCCUCCCCUAAAUUGCUAGAAACUCUGUUUCUCUGGGCGGAGAGGAAACCUGGGUUUCAAUCGUCUGCUAUGCUCUUGAGUUCUGUGGUCAAUGUGCUUGGUAAAGCGAAGGAAUUUGAUUCUGCUUGGUGUUUAGUUCUUGAUCGGAUUGGUGGAGAUAAGGGACCUGUAUUGGUCUCGAUUGACACGUUUGCCAUUCUGAUCAGAAGGUACACUCGGGCAGGAAUGCCGCAAUCUGCAAUUCGGACAUUCGAAUAUGCAAGCAGCGUUAACUUGAUUUGUAAUUCUGAUCCCGGAACAAGCUUGUUGGAAAUUUUAUUGGAUUCCCUUUGCAAAGAAGGGCGGGUUAGGGUGGCUAAAGAAUAUUUUGAUAGAAAAAAGCAACUGGACCCUUGUUGGGCUCCAUCUGUUCGAAUAUAUAAUAUACUGUUAAAUGGAUGGCUUCGAUCAAGAAAGCUCAAACAUGCAGAGAGACUUUGGACGGAGAUGAAGAAGGAGAAUGUGACACCGAGUGUUGUAACAUAUGGUACCAUGGUAGAAGGGUACUGCCGAAUGAGUCGUGUUGAAAGGGCAGUUGAUUUGUUGGAUGAAAUGAGAAGGGAAGGAAUUGAACCAAAUGCAAUAGUGUACAACCCAAUUAUUGAUGCAUUUUCAGAAGCAGGUAGGUUUAAGGAGGCAUCAGGAAUGAUGGAGUACUUGUUGCAAUCUGAAUCAGGCCCCACUAUAUCCACUUAUAAUUCUUUGGUAAAGGGCUACUGUAAGGCCAAAGAUCUUGUAGGUGCUAGUGUUGUCCUUAAAAUGAUGAUUAGUAGGGGUUUUAUCCCAACCCCUACAACCUAUAAUUAUUUCUUUAGGCAUUUUUCAAAAUUUGGGAAGAUUGAGGAAGCGAUGAACCUUUAUGCCAAGAUGAUUGAAUCUGGAUACACCCCUGAUCGGCUUACUUACCAUCUUUUGUUGAAGAUGUUGUGUGAGCAGGAGAGAUUGGAGUUGGCUGUGCAGAUUAGCAAGGAAAUGAGAGCUAGGGGAUGUGAUAUGGACUUAGCAACUAGCACUAUGUUAAUUCAUUUACUUUGCAGAAUGCAUAGAUUUGAAGAGGCAUUUCUGGAGUUUGAGGAUAUGUUACGGAGGGGCAUAGUUCCUCAAUAUCUUACUUUCCAUAGAUUGAAUGAUGAGUUAAGAAAACAGGGAAUGGUUGAGAUGGCACAAAAACUAAGCAAUAUGAUAUCUUCUGUCCCUCAUUCAACAAACUUGCCCAAUACAUAUAGUGUAGAAGGAGAUGCGUCAUGGCGUGCAAGGAGAACAUCUAUAUUGCGGAAAGCAGAAGCAAUGUCUGAAAUACUGAAGACUUGUACUAAUCCAAGAGAGCUUGUUAAGCGCAGAAGCAGACCUGAAAAUCUUGUAUCUGUUGCCAAUCGGUUGAUAGAGGAUAUCAGAGAAAGAGCAAACAAGAAAUGAAUUUACAAAUUGCAAAGGAAACUCUUUAAAGGGAAUACUCAGAGGAAAGUUGGAUCAGUUCUGAAGGUUCUGUGAGGUCUGUGAAUGCUAUGAUCGCCUUCCCUUAAUGCUGCCGCUGUUUAAUUUCCCCUUGUCUCCCAUUUGAGCAUAUUGAAACUUUUCUAGUUUUUAGUGAUAUACUGGUCCAAUUUGCAGCUGGGAGGGAUCUGAGACCUGGACAACUUGGGAAUAUGUGACAAACACUAACAAACGGGUAAGUCUCUGGUUCGAGUAGUAUCUUUAUAUUUUUCUUUUACCUUGUAUGCCUAGCAGCAACAACAACUUGUUACAGACACAAUUCUGUCCUUAGAAACCAUAAUGCUUAUCUGACCUGAAUGUUUGACAUGUCAAAUAAUACCAUAAUUACGUGUUAAAUUGAUUUGAUUUUCAAGUUCUUGGGCAAAUUACCUUUUGUCUCUUUUGCAAUUGUUAGGUUUUCUUAAAUCAAGCUUAUGAGUUCAAGUUAAUUGGUAGUUACUUGAGAUCUAGUAUAUUAUAGUACUCAACUGUAGAUCUUAACACACUGUUAGUAAAACUUGCCUUCUAGUCUCCUAGCUGUUUCGGUUGUUGUUUGUGCACUAUGUAGAUAGAUGACAUCGUUCAAAUAUGUAGAUGCUGGGGGCCUCUGUUUUGUGGAUUGAUUAAAGUUUGUUCGAAUUAGGAAUUCCCAAUAUCCUUGAAUACUGUUGAUCUGGCUAUAAGUUUUCUACAUGAUCUGCAUUGUAUUUUUUAAUUAAUAGCUUCUGCACAUCAGUUGCUGAAUUCUAGGCUUUAUUGCAUUAUUUCUGCAUUUGUCAUCCCAUACUAAAUUUCAAUAAGCUCAGGCUAAGUAUUACUAUUUGCAAGUUUUUGGAAUUGAUCAUCAGGUUGAGCAAUGAGCAUUAUCGUCUCAGAUUUGCAACCAACCUGUGUAAUUCUUAGGUUAUUGUCAUUCACAAAUCUUCUACCUGAGAAACAGUUUUAAUUCAUUUCAAAUUGAACAUCUUAUUAUCUGGCUUGGCGACUUCAUUUAAGAACGUCUUGUUUAAAUUUAUGUUUUAGGAACAUAAAAUCCUUUUUUCCCCUCGAUAUCUGCAGGGGCAGUAUAUUCUGGGGUUGUGGCAAUCAGAGAACACCAGAAGUUUACCCGACAAAUCAAAACCCAGCAUAUUGUCGCAGUUUCUCACUAUAUUUGAUUUGUAAAUUAUUUCAAGCAUGAAGGGAUCAAUGCUCUUUGGUUACAAUUAACACUUUCGCCAGCAAACUACUCGUGUACUGAACUUACUGCUACUUGAUUAUCUUGACAUAGUUGGAACUGUAAUGCAGGAAUUUUCCAUGUAGACUUCUGACUGCCUUUGCAACAAAAUUCUUUUAAGAAGUGGUUCAUUAUUUGAAAUAGAAUUUGGAUGUAAGAAGGGUUCAAUUUUCAGGCGCAGGUGGAAACGCCUCAAAGCAUCAAAGGCGCAAGCCCUCACUCAGGCGUGCCUCAAGGAGCUCAGCCAUAAAACAACCAGAGCUGGGUUAUCAUUUUUACCCACAUGCAUAUAGCAGCAACAAAACCGAAAGGAUAUCUGACCUGGGCCUUCCUGGUCCUCGGCUUCUCAAUCCACCUCGGCUUUUCAAUUCAGGUCUUUAUUUUUAACUUUCUCCAUCCUUCUUUCUUCCUUUUUUCCCUUUACCCUUCUUUCUACUCUUUUUUUAGGUACGCUGCCCAAUUUUUUCAAGGUUCCUGACAGUGAUGCUAUGUGCUUGUGCCUUUCUGCAUGCUAUGUUUUUUUUUUUUUUUAAAUGUUAAAAAUUCCAUAUUGCAGAAUAUCUAGUUUUGGUAAUUAUAAUUUGGGAACAAUAUUUGCUGGCAGUUUCAAUCUAUUAACAUAAAAAAGAAACAAUUUCACUUCUAACUCCAU
Molecule: unclassified non-coding RNA, 4890 nt
Filed under: Hevea brasiliensis (rubber tree)
Lineage: Eukaryota; Viridiplantae; Streptophyta; Magnoliopsida; Malpighiales; Euphorbiaceae
Source: RNAcentral